CCUACGGGGGGCAGCAGUGAGGAAUAUUGGUCAAUGGGCGCAAGCCUGAACCAGCCAAGUCGCGUGAGGGAUGACGGCCCUAUGGAUUGUAAACCUCUUUUGUCGGGGAGCAAGGCGCGCCACGUGUGGCGGGACGGAGAGUACCCGGAGAAAAAGCAUCGGCUAACUCCGUGCCAGCAGCCGCGGUAAUACGGAGGAUGCGAGCGUUAUCCGGAUUUAUUGGGUUUAAAGGGUGCGCAGGCGGAAGAUCAAGUCAGCGGUAAAAUUGAGGGGCUCAACCUCUUCCAGCCGUUGAAACUGGUGUUCUUGAGUGGGCGAGAAGUAUGCGGAAUGCGUGGUGUAGCGGUGAAAUGCAUAGAUAUCACGCAGAACUCCGAUUGCGAAGGCAGCAUACCGGCGCUCAACUGACGCUGAUGCACGAAAGUGUGGGUAUCGAACAGGAUUAGAUACCCGGGUAGUC
This 460-nucleotide ribosomal RNA is filed under the name uncultured bacterium. RNAcentral describes it as "partial 16S ribosomal RNA". It matches the Rfam family "Bacterial small subunit ribosomal RNA", at positions 338 to 795 of the family's 1533-position model. The record is from RNAcentral.